UACGUAGGGGGCUAGCGUUGUCCGGAAUCAUUGGGCGUAAAGAGCGUGUAGGCGGCUCGAUAAGUCCGCUGUGAAAGUCCAGGGCUCAACCCUGGGAUGCCGGUGGAUACUGUCGGGCUCGAGUCCGGAAGAGGCGAGUGGAAUUCCUGGUGUAGCGGUGAAAUGCGCAGAUAUCAGGAGGAACACCAAUGGCGAAGGCAGCUCGCUGGGACGGUACUGACGCUGAGGCGCGAAAGCGUGGGGAGCGAACAGG
RNAcentral lists this ribosomal RNA (253 nucleotides) under uncultured bacterium. Its description in RNAcentral is "partial 16S ribosomal RNA". It matches the Rfam family "Bacterial small subunit ribosomal RNA", at positions 524 to 776 of the family's 1533-position model. The record is from RNAcentral.